AACGAACGCUGGCGGCAUGCCUAACACAUGCAAGUCGAACGAGACCUUCGGGUCUAGUUGCGCACGUGUGCGUAACGCGGGGGAACCUGCACUUAGGUUCGGAAUAACUCCCCGUAAGGUAUGCUAAUACCGGUUAGUGUCAUCCGACCAAAGAGUUUUCGCCUCUGGAUGGGCGCUCGUUGGAUUAGCUAGUUGGUAGGGGAAAAGCCUGCCAACGCGACGUUGGAUAGCUGGUCUGAUAGGAUGACCCGCCACAAUGGGAGUGCGGCACGGACCAGACUGCUACGGGGGGGAGCAGUGGAGAAUAUUAGACACUGGGGGAAGGUGUAGUCACGCAGUGCGGGGGGAGUGAGGAAUCCCUUAGGGUUGUAAAUCCGUUUGACCCGGGAUGUGAAUGACGGUACCGGGUAAAUAAGCUCCGGCUAACUCCGUG
This 433-nucleotide ribosomal RNA is filed under the name uncultured bacterium. RNAcentral describes it as "partial 16S ribosomal RNA". It matches the Rfam family "Bacterial small subunit ribosomal RNA", at positions 29 to 507 of the family's 1533-position model. The record is from RNAcentral.